UUUAAUUGUCUCCUUUUCCCCACAUUCAUCCCCACAUGGGCUAGUGCAAAGGGAUUUAUUCAUCAGCAAGGUUUCACCAUGACAACUCCCUCUCCUUGGUCUUUAAAAAUAACUGACUGACUGAAUUAUCAAAUUUAGCACUCUUAUGGAAAUAUGAUGUAUUAAUAUUCUGCAAUUAUCAUUUAAAUCUAAUUUUCAAAUUGUUUGGCAGAAAUAAACCUCUCAGGAAAAUGUUA
This is a long non-coding RNA of Rhinichthys klamathensis goyatoka, 236 nucleotides long. RefSeq lists it as uncharacterized. NCBI's taxonomy places the organism in Eukaryota, Metazoa, Chordata, Actinopteri, Cypriniformes, Leuciscidae. The transcript is spliced from 2 exons. The record is from RefSeq and is a predicted model, not a curated record.